Molecule: long non-coding RNA, 1717 nt
Organism: Acanthopagrus latus (yellowfin seabream)
Lineage: Eukaryota; Metazoa; Chordata; Actinopteri; Spariformes; Sparidae
Exons: 9
Source: RefSeq, a predicted model, not a curated record
AUGAGAGAGAAAGAGGGAGCAACAAGCAGUAAAGGGCGUCAGGCUGGGAAUCAAACCCGCACCUGCUGCUGUGAGGACAAAGCUUCUGUACAUGGAACAUCUGCUCCACCAACGGCGCCCCGUCAGCAUCUCUGCACAUCCACGUCCCUCGUCUCAAAGUCUAUGUAGCUUUUGAAUUGUUUUUUUGAGGUGCUGCAGGAGGCCGGACAGAGUUUUUCUCUGUGCUGGAGCUGCUGCUGUUUCCACUCACACACCUGCAGCCAGUUUGGGUUAAUCAGCACUUGUUCGAGUACCCUGAUCACCAGUCUGCUCGCUGCCAGAUCAAUUAACCGCCAGUCGACGUGUUAUGUAGCCGCUCCACUUGCGCAAGUAGUUUCUAGAAGAGUUUUUUUUCUUGUUUCUCGUUUUUGCCUGAGCUCAUGUUUGCUUCUCUGCUUCUCCACCAGUGAGCACCACUCUGACCAGCACUCAGCUCCACCUGCCUCCCAGCUGCAGCACCUCCUCACCGUCCAACUCACCGCUGGACCUCUGCGCCUCGCUUCUCCACCUGCAUUCAACCAGUGUGUCUCCUGCGCCUCACCUGAGACCAGCUCACACUAACUCCUGUCUGCUCUGCCAGGUACAGGACGUCUCCUCCAGGUUGGAGGUUUGGUUACAGACAGUAUUGUCGUGCUGGAAAGAAGUCUGGUGUCUUCCUCAAGGUUGCUAUCUGGGAGGUGGUUGUUGUUUCCUGCAGCGACAGGGAUUUUUGAUUCUUGCAGAAAAAUAGGUGCCCAGUGGUCGACGUCUACGUCUACUGUGUGAUGCCAGAAGUCAUUAAGUCCAGGGAGAUACUUCAAAAUGAAGAAAGGUGAUGGACAGACCAUAAUUUUCAUCUCUGCUGCAGUCUCCAGCAUGGCGAAAGCAGGAGAAAAGCCCGAAGGAAAAAUAAGAGCCUUGACGUUGAUGAGGAGGUGGCGACGCUGGAAGGACUCAAACUUCGGCCUUUGACCCCGGCUGCUAAAACAAAACAGGUACAACAAUUAAAUUGCAGCUGUCAGCAGAGGAGAUAUUAAACUCGUUCCCGGUUCUGUCUCCCUUUCUGCUGACGAUGACCUUGGUGGGGAGACGGAGGCUGGCCGCCGAAGCCUCACGCUGGUUGAGAGUGUUCACGCGCUCUGUCUCGUGGAGAGCCAGCCAUCUGGGAGAGGGAUAUUCAUCACACUGGAACAGAACACACACAGCCACUGGCACAGACACUAUCAUCAUCAUCGCCAUCAUCAUCAUCAACACUCGCCAGCAUCAUCGCAUGUUCCCGGGCUCUGUGAAAAUCCUGGACCGCCAGCUCUGCUGUCUCACAAGCUGAUGUCACGCAAUGUCAUCUAAUCACCCAAGGUAAGGUUUGCCUUGGCUUCACCUGACUCGAAACAUCACAAACUGGUGCGGUUCAUGUGCGGCCCAGGACAGGACGGGUCUACAGCGGGUGAUUAAAACCAGCCAGAACAUCACUGGUACCAUCUCCAGAGCAUCAGUGGCAUCAGUAAAGUGAGACGUCUGCACCCUCCCAGCUGCAGUCUGUCCACCCUGCUGCCACCCUGCUGCAGAUACAGAAGUAUCUGUUGUCUUUCCUCUGGCUGUGAGACUUUCAGUUCAUCAUCAACGCUUCAUUGUAUUAAUUAAAUGUAAUGUAGCACAAAAGGACUCAAACAUAACCCUUUUUUGUGUGUGUGUGUGUGUG